CAGAGGGUGCAAGCGUUGUUCGGAAUUAUUGGGCGUAAAGGGAGUGUAGGCGGUUCUGCAAGUCUUCUGUGAAAUCUACGGGCUCAGCCUGUAACGUGCAGAGGAAACUGCAAGACUUGAGUGUCGGAGAGGAUAGUGGAAUUCCCGGUGUAGAGGUGAAAUUCGUAGAGAUCGGGAGGAACACCAGUGGCGAAGGCGACUAUCUGGCUGACAACUGACGCUGAGACUCGAAAGCAUGGGGAGCAAACAGGAUUAGAUACCCUGGUAGUCCAUGCCGUAAACGAUGAUAACUAGAUGUGGGAGGUAUUGACCCCUUCCGUGUCGCAGCUAACGCGAUAAGUUAUCCGCCUGGGAAGUACGGCCGCAAGGUUA
Molecule: ribosomal RNA, 372 nt
Filed under: uncultured organism
Description: bacterial SSU rRNA
Rfam family: Bacterial small subunit ribosomal RNA
Source: RNAcentral